Molecule: long non-coding RNA, 9871 nt
Filed under: Homo sapiens (human)
Lineage: Eukaryota; Metazoa; Chordata; Mammalia; Primates; Hominidae
Description: HSALNT0218140
Rfam family: Y RNA (bases 8066-8170)
Source: RNAcentral
AUUCAACCAAGAUGGUGUCCUGGGUAUGGUGGAAGAAGAUGUUCUCUGGGAUGCAGACAUUUCCCUGAACAAGUCCAUCACAGAGAGCAGGAGAGUCUGGCCUCUUCAGAUGUGAGCCAUCAUUAAGUUCAAAUUCACUCCACCAUCCAUGCAAACUGUGAGAGCUGCUCCAUGGUGCCCAAAUCAGCACAUUCAGCUAGAAUCUCUUGUCACUGGAGAAGCUGUCUGAUUCUCUGAACAUGACGCAAGCCUUGCUGUCACCACCACCGUGAAGGUCAGAUACAGCACCCAAGGUACUUGCUGCAAUAGGCCUUUCUUCCCCUGCAACUGAGGUGAUAAUUGAAUCAUAAUACCACUGCACGCCUUGGGUUAUAGGAAUCCCGUUUCCCACUCAGCAUUGCAUUCAAGACAAAGGACAUACCAAGUCAACCCUAACAUCUCACAUCAGAUGUUCAUAAACGGCUCACAUUUUCUGUACUUUAUGCAUAUUUUUUUACUCAUAAAAGAGUCAAGGGGAAACAGCUUUGAAGAAGGAGCCCAAAUGAUAUUAGCGUUCAUACUUAUUUUUAGACUUCAAAAAGAUAGGUAUCUAAACACUACUUACUGGAUAAAUGUAAGGGUGUAUUUUAGCCAUUGUAGAUUUCCUAACAGUAAUUAUUAACUAUACAACCAUACGAACUCAUUAUUAAGUACUUAGUGUGCUUUUGACAUCAGCUCCAUCUCGAUUUCUUUGAAUUGCAUGAGCUGUUUUGUAGGACAGUACACAUCUGUCCUGGAAGUGUCCCAGAGAGCCAGCAAACCCCUCACCUGCUGGACUGUGGCUGUGUUGGGAACCUGUCUACGUUUAAAACUCCAAUGCUUUGACUGAGUGGUAUUGGCUGGAUAAAAUCUGUGGUCUUUGUGAGCUCUACAAGGGCAAAGCUGGUUAACUUGUUCAUUUCAAAGGAGUAAUCUUAAUAUUGUUAAUGUGGCUUGUGGCAUCAAGGUUAUUAGAAUUUAAGGACUUAAUAGAUUUCUCCAUCUACUACAUCAAUGGUAAUUGUAGAAAUUAGCUAAAAUGCACUACUGCUUAAAUGCAAUGGAAAAAUAUUUCUUUCUUCCUUUCAAGACUUUAAGAGGUCUGAAAUGUUUCUGUCCAGGCCCUUGCGCCUCUGCCACCGCUGUGAGAAGUACAUAUCCUGGCCAGCCUGCUGACUCAGGAGGUUGAGAAUCAGGUGCAGCAGACCAGAGCACUGCUUCAGUGUCAGGGUAGAGCUGCUCCAUGACCCAGAGAUUCAUACGAGCCAUCCCACCACACUCGUCCCACCUGGCUUGUGUCAAUGUUCCAUUACUGUUCACCGGCUGCCCACGCACCUCCAGCUCCACAUCAGAAUGUGUUGCUAGACGUCAUUGUCAUGGUGGCAGGAGGAAUUUGUUAAACUUCAAAGGAAUGCCUGUUUGUCAUAAAGCCUUUAAAACAAGAAGAUGGCAUCUCCUAUGUGGGAGGAGUGAGGUUUGAUCCUGCGGAAAAUAAACUUAGCUGACAUUUUCGAGUGCGUCUUGUGUUCUGGGCUGUCCUUGCGACAGUGUCUUGGCAGGUAGUACUAUAGUCACUCCUUUAACGUGGGGACACCCGAGUUUGGAUAACGUGAGCAGUGUGCUGGAGGUCAGUCGGCAGGGGGCAGAGUUGGAUUUGAAGGUGAGGUCGUGUUUGUGGGGCCACUGUUUUUAAUCACGGUACUAGAGGCACCACAGAGAGUGUAGAGAAAACAGAACCGCAAGGCCUGAGUGCCUUAAAGAGAGGUUUUCAGAAUCAGGACCCAGCAUGCUUAUUCUUGCUGCAGUGCCUUAACACGCUAAACAGCGCUUAACCGCGCUAAAACAUCCCAUGGGAAACUGUGACUGCAAGGCCCGGGGGAUGUUCCUUCUCAGCCCAUGCCCUGCCCAUGCCCCAAGUAAAAGCAGUUUUAGGGACCACUAGUGUCCCAGGAAUCAUGGUAUUAAAGAGUUGUUGGGUGUGGUGGCUCAUGCCUGUAAUCCCAGCUGCUUUGGAGGCUGAGGCAGGAGAAUCGCUGGAACCCAGGAGGCAGAGGCUGCAGUGAGCCGAGAUCGCGCCAUUGCACUCCAGCCUGGACAACAAGAGCCAAACUCCAAUUCAAAAAAAAAAAAAGUUAACCUUUCAAAGCAAGAUGGUUUUAGCCAUAAAUUUUCAUAGCAACAGAGGACAGCACAUACCAGUGACGGAACCGAUACUUUGAAUCAAGCCAGCCAGAGGGGUCUACACCCCCUUCCACUGCAGACACCAAAACACAGGGUGCCAUUCUCCAUUCCCUGCCAUUUACAAAGAAGAAUGGACAAAGUAAGUUUGAGGUUAACGAAAGCAGCCUCAGGAUGUUGAGUUCCUAGUCUCAGUUCAAACAGCUAUUUGUGUGAGGCUGGGCAAGUCGCUGGGGUGGGCCUCAAUCCCCUCAUCUGAUUUUACCUGAGGCGCCACCAACUCUAGGAAGUCUCCCAUGAUUGUCUAAGGCUGGGAUCCCUCCCUGUGUGGCCCUUACUCUCUUUUUACCUAAUUCCCUUCCUAAGAACGAGCUCCUUCCAGCUAAGAUAAGCUUUCUCAUGACUGCACCCCCUGUGUCUGGCAGAGGGGACAGCACCUGACAGAUGCCUGCCUUGGAGGCUGGGGCUGCCACAACAAAGAACCACAGCCUGGGGGCUUAAACACAGACGUGCAUUUCCUCACAGUGCUGGAGGCUGGAAGUCCAAGAUCAAGGUGGGCAAGGCUGGCUUCUCCUGCAGCCUCUCUCUUCGGCUUGUAGAUGGCUGUCUUCCCUGUGCCUCAGACGAUCACCCCUCUGACUGUGUCUGUAUCCUAACCUCAUCUUCUUAUAAGGACACCAGUCAGAAUGGAUUAAGGUUCACCCUCAUGGCCUGAUUUUAACUCAAUUACCUCUUUAAAGGCCCUCUCCAAAUAAGAUCACAGUCUGAGGUACGGUGGUUGGGCUUCAACAUAUAAAUUUGAAGAAUCUUAAUUCAGACCACAACGGGGUCUCACAUGUCUCAGGUGAAUGGACUGAAUCUCAGCCUGCAGUUCAAUGGGAUCACAUCCAUGUGAAUCUGAAUUGCAGCUGUGGGUUGACCUCAGCCAGUUGGCUUUGGCUCUCCUCUGCCCAGUUAUUUCCAGGAGUCUGGAAGAAUCUCAGGAGAGCUCAGGGAACCUGGAACAAACACCUACUGCUGGCCCCCACUGCUGCCACUCCUGCUCCCUCCUGAUGGCAGGGUCCCUGUCUCCCCCAGUCACAGACACGCGGAUGAGCCCCCAUCUGCCUGGCUGACCCACUGCCUCCUGAGCCCAAGUCUCUUUGGCUGAGGCCCCAGUACACACCAACACCAUUUUCAAAAUGACUCCUUCACAAUUUCUCUUUAAGGCCAGACACCAAAGUCCCCCAGACCUGUCUCUGGAACAAAUACUCUUAUCUUUUGUACUUGAACUAACCUUUAAAAAAAAAAAAGCUUGGAACCUGAUGCCAUAGACGAGCUCUGAGCUUCUGUAUAUUUGGAAAUUCUGAAUCUAAUUGAAUAGCAUGAACUUGUCUUUUCCACAAAGGAUUUGAGGCACUGUGUUUUUAAGUGACUAAGCCCACGUCCCUCUCCAGACACCACCUGGGGCUUGGCAAUGAGGAUGCUGGCGGGGGUUUAAUAUGGUCACACGGGAGCCAGAGAACCAACAAGGUUGACCAGGGCACAGGGGGCAUGCUGAAGUAUGGCUGGGACUGCAGCAAAUUCUAAUUCCAAGUGGAUGGUAAUUUCUUGAGCAUUAUGAUGUUUGAAAAGUACAACAGAAGUCUAUAUUGUAAUGUAGUGCCUUCUUAUCCACAGGGAUAUGUUCCAAGACCCACAGUAGAUGCUUGAAACCUUGGGUAGUAGUGAACCCUACAUAUGUUUUUUCUCUGAUAUAUACAUACCUAUGAUAAAAUUUAAUGUAUAAAUUAGGCACAGUAAGAAACUAACAGCACUUACUAGCAAUAAAAUAGGACAAUCAUAACCAUAUGCUGUAAUGAAAGUUAUGUGAAUGUGGUCUCUGUCACAAAACAUCUUAUUGUCUUCGCCUAUUUUCUGACUGUGGUUGACCACAGAUAACUGAAGCCACAGAAAGAAACACCACAGGACAUGUGUGGUGGCUCACGCCUGUAAUCCCAGCACUUUGGGAGGCUGAGCUGGGCAGAUCAUCUGAGGUCAGGAGUUCGAGACCAGCCUGGCCAACAUGGUGAAACCCCAGCUCUACUAAAAAUAUAAAAAUUAGCUGGGCGUGGUAGCAGGCGCCUGUAGUCCCAGCUACUUGGGAGGCUGAGGCAGGAGAAUGGCGUGAACUUGGGAGGCAGAGCUUGCAGUGAGCCGAGAUCGCGCCACUGCACUCCAGCCUGGGUGACGGAGCAAGACUCUGUCUAAAAAAAAAGAAAAGAAAGUAACGCCACAGAUGGGGGUGACUGUAUGGUAAUUACCAAAAUGUGUAGGAGAAAAACAUACUCACUUUAACCCUGACAUAUUGAUUUCACCAAGACUAUCUUUAUCUUAAAUGACAGCUUAAAAUAAUGUGUUUGAAAAACAAUUACACUAUUCAUAUUAAUACAAAGAUACUAAAUGGCGAAUUCUUGGCCGUUUUCAUUUACCACAGAAAGAAAAGGGGGCAAAUAUAGUUGGAAAAAGAUUAAACUCUGUAGCUUCAUAAGGUCCUUCAAUGUAAAGAUGAAUAGCUUCAACAUGAAGUGAAAAGCAUCUGCCACAAUCUUCUAAAAUUACUGGGAAUAUAAUUUACCAGCAGCCUUGGUGCUGAGACAUAACACACUCUCUCUCCAUUGUUACCCAUUGCCCUGAAUAUGUGGUCAGUGACUAUCAACGCGUUGCGAGUGGAGGAAGGCAGGAUCAGAGAUAUCGCUGCCCAAAAAAGCAACAAUAGCAAACAGCAGCAGCAACACAGAAUGAUGGAGCCUCCUGCCACACUCUUCAAAGCGCUGCAGCCAGGAGGACACAGAGAAGAAGGUGGUGUGGGCCUGCAAAGGACAGACUCUGAAUCAGUGCGACCCACCCCGCGUGUCCCUCCAACCCAAAUAGCGGAUCCCUCUCCCCACCCUACGCUGCCAGUCUCGAGUGAGGCUCAUUGAGAAGGGAAGUUGUAAGUUGGAGGGAAAAAGUUUUAAGAGAGCCCAUGAGUGCAGAAGUCCCGCCUCCCACCAAGGAUCUCAGCAGAUGCAGGAAAGUCACAGGCAGGAGGUCUUCAGGUGUCUUCCCUAUGGGCAGGAAGGAAAGGGGAUGUGACUAUAACCAAAUUCCUGCUCCCACCAGCCCUCCAACUACCAGCCCUAACAGCCAAAUCCAUGGACAUUUUAUCUGUCCUGACUGGAGGUUGAAGGGUGUAAGGAGAGAGGUUGGGAAAUUUCACCGGGAGUACGCGGCUAACUGAGAAAGCUGAAUAAGAGUUCACUCACCCCAAAGACCCAGAAUUUCAUGAAUUAGAGCAAUAAAUAAUGAUAUAGAUCUCCUUCCAGGGUAAUGCCUAAGAUGUAUUGGAGCACCAACAGACCAACAUCAACAGCAACAAAGUAAAGACAAAAACGCCCAGGCUGUCCAUCCUAGGGGCUGGCCUUCCUCUCAGAACCCCAGGCCAGGAAAGCAGGAAGAAGGGGGAGCACAGAGUCUGAAAGGGGCUGAGACCUGCUUUUUCAGAGGAAUUUAAAGAUCCACAUGGAGCUGCCCAAAUUAAGCAAAAGUAAGAGUGAAAUAAAUGGCAAGGCAUUCCUGCAAAUGCACUGCAGGGGAACAGUGAACACAGGGUGGACCAUGGUCUGUAAAGAAAGACAAAGAUUUCAUUCUGCAGCAAAAUAUAUAACUGAAUCCAUGCAAGAAAGUUCUCCAAAAUGUUGUGUAAGAAGUUAGUAAGAAAUCGAUUUCAAUAAAAAAGAGCUAAAAGAUAGAAAAGCAAAAUGAAAGGUAAAUUGCAGAGUUUUGGAAACAAAUUGAAGAGCAAAAACUCAUUUCAGAACGGGAAGAAAAAAAAAAAAACCUACCCGAACUGUAAAUAGCAGGAAACAGAAUAGACAAUGCCAAAAAUAACAAAGCUACCAUCAUAGAGGAAGAAUUUCAGAUCUCCAAAGGGAAUAAGAGGAAUAAAACACAUCAUUGCAUAUUCAAGCCAAAAUGAGGAAAAAGAAGGAAAAUUCAUUUUGCAUAAAUAAAUAUACCAUGUAUGUGAUGGUAGGAAAUUAAUUUCAGAAAGUAAAUGUUAUAACUCAUGAAUUUGUAAAAAUAACAAAGAUAAUUGCACUAUGAAAAUUAGGUAAAAGGGAAGAUUACCACAAAAUGAAUGAAUUGCCCAUCCUAUUAAACAUCUUUCAAUUUUCUCUCAAUAGUAGUCAACAGAUACUCUUCUGAAUUGAUAAAUAUUAAAGCAUAUCACAGAGUGUUGUAUAAGGAACCUGCAGAAAACCUAAAAACAAAAAGAUAACUAAUAAUAUAUUGGGGUUUGAAGUGAGAAGUGGAGAAUUAAUAGAAACUGUCAGGUUGAUAAAUCAUGAACUAUAGGUUGAAUUAUGUAAAAUUAUAUAGGUAACCACUUAAACACAUAAAAGCAAUAAAUCUUUCAUUUUAACAAAAGGAUUGCACAUAAUCAGAAGGAGGGGGAAAUAAAAAAAUCCAAAAGGGAAUGCAAAAGAAAUAUUAAUUACAGAUAUUGAAAAAAAUAUUAAACCAAAUAUAUCAGCAAUAUGUAUUAAAAAUAUAAGUGCAGAUCCAAGAUAAAUAAACCUAAAACAAAGUGCCUCAAAAAGGUUAAACAUAAAAUUGAGUAUAAAAUAAUAAGAAAUACAUAUUGGUCUGUGUCUCCAGUUUCUGACACAGAGCUCCUAAUACCCUUGUAAUUUCCUGAGUGAUGGGGGUACUGGGAGCAUCUUUUGUUCUAAUAUUGGUUGGGAGCAUCUUUGACUGGGUUCCUGGUACAGAGCUUCCAAUCCCUUGGAAUUUCCUGGGUGAUAGGAGCAUCUUUUGUUCUAAUGAACGACUCUUGGUGGAAUCCUAGAUGAGGGCUGGUCACCAGAAAGACCAAGCCAUGGUUAGAAGCUUGGAACUUUCAGCCCCACACCCCAUCCUCUAGGGAGGAAAGAGGAGUUGGAGAUUGAAUCAAUAAUCAAUCAUGCCUACAUGAUGAAGCCUCCUUAAAAAUUCCUAAGUACAGGUGCGGGAGCUUCAGGGUUGGGGAACACGUGGUGGUGCUCCUGGAGAGGCCAUGGCAGCUCCAUACCCACCCCCACCAUAUCUUUUCCUGUAUUUCUCUCCCAUUUGGCUGUAUUCUUUAUAAUAAGUGGAUAAACAUAGUAGUGUUGCCCUGGGUUCUCUGCGCUGUUCCACCAAAUGACUGGACCUAAGAAGGGGGGCGUGGGAACCUCCGAUUUAUAGCCAAGUUGGACAGAAGCUGUGGGUGACCUGCAGACCCACCACUUACAACUGGCAUCUGGAGCAGGGCAGUCCUGGGAAUUGAGCCCCUCCCCUGUGGGGCUGGCUCUAACUCCAGUUAGUGUCAGAGUUGAGCUGAACGGUAGGACACCCAGCUGGUGCUGGAGAAUGGGUGGGAUUUUUCCCCACACAUGUGGAGACGGGAGGUGUUGUGUGAGUGUAAGAAUGAACGAGAGAGGCAUCUCAGCAUAAGAAAUCAGUGGGGCUGAUUUUAAAAGCAGACAAAUGUGAAUUCAAGGUUAAGUAUUGAAAAUAGAAUGAAAAUCCGGUAAAUCGUUAAACAUCCUGUGGUAAAUGGAAGGAUGAUUGAAAGAGGAAUGCUGCUGACAGGGAGCGUGGCCCCAGCCAGGCCAGUGAGCAAAGCCAGGGGUGGAACUCCCACAGACCCGCCCAGGUCAUUCUCAGAGAGGGACCCAUUCACAGGCACUGAUCAUACAAACCCCUCAGAAACACCUCAGCACAUUAUAAAUAUUAGAAAUAGAACAAAAGGCAUUUUGCUUAAAGCAUAAGGUAAUGUAACUAGAAAUUAAUUUUUAAGUUAAAAAAUGUGGAAAUUUUAAAACACUCAACAAAGCUCAGUUCGGGCUGGUCUGAGUGCAGUGGGGUGUACAAGGAAUUGAUUACAAGCAGUUACAGGUUUCUUUGCUCCUUUUCCAUUUCCACUGCUGCUUCACUUCACUAGCCUUUAUUUAAAAAGUCAGCUUGAAGAAGGUACAACAAUUCAACUUAUAGAAUAUCCAGAAAAUACAAAUGAAAACAUUGCAUAUUAAGACGUAUGGACUGCUGUUAAAGCUUUGAUCAGAAUAAAAUGCAGAGCCAAAAAUACUUAUCUGAUUAAAUAAGAAUAAUUGGAAACACAUGAAUUAGGCAUCUAUUGAAUAACUUAGAACAACAACAACAAAAUAAAAGUAGAAGAGAACUGGCUGGGCGCGGUGGCUCACGCUGGUAGUCCCAGCACUUUGGGAGGCUGAGGCGGGUAGAUCAACUGAGGUCAGGAGUUUGAGACCAGCCUGGCCAACAUGGUGCAACCUCUACUAAAAAUACAAAAAAAAAAAAAAAAAAAAAAAAAUUAACCGGGAGUGGUAGUGGGUGCCUGUAAUCCCAGCUACUCAGGAGGCUAAGGCAGGAGAAUUGCUUGAACUCGGGAGGUGGAGGUUGCAGUGAGCCAAGAUGACGCCAUUGCACUCCAGCCUGGGCGACAGUGCGAGACUUCCUCUCAAAAAAAAAAAAAAAAAAAAAAAGUAAAAGGAUCAUGGCUGAAUCCUGAGGAUAUCUUAUUUCAUGUAAUGUGAAAUAAGUCAGUCACAAAAGGACAAAUACUAUAUGAAUCCACUUGUAUCAGGUACCUAGCCAAAUUUAUAAAGACCAAAAGGAGGCCAGGUGUGGUGGCUCACGCCUGUAAUUCCAGCACUUUGGGAGGAGGAGGCAGGCAGAUCACUUGAGGCCAGGAGUUCGAGACCAGCCUGGCCAACAUGGUGAAACCCCAUCUCUACUAAAAAUAUAAAAAAUUAGCUGGGAUUGGUGGUGUGCUCUGGUAAUCCCAGCAACUCUGGAGGCCGAGGCAUGAGAAUCGCUUGAACCCAGGAGGCAGAGGUUGCAGUGAGCAGAGAUUGCACCACUGCACUCUAGCCUGGGUGAUAAAAUGAGACUCUGUCUCAAAAAAAGAAAAAAAAAAAAAAAGGACCAAAACAAGAGUGGUUGAUGUUUGAUAGAGACAGGGUUUCAAUUUGGGAAGAUGAAAAGAGUUCUGGGAAUAUGUGGUUGUGAAGACUGUACAACAAUGUGACUGUAUUUAAUGACACUGAAUGGUACACUUAAAACUGGUUAAAAUGAUAAAUUUUAUGUUAUGUAUAUUUUACGAAAAUUUAAAAAUAUACAAUAAUUUUUAAAAAGUAAAAUAGAAUGAAAAUAUUAAAGAUAAAAGCAGAAAACUAAAAAUUAGAAAACAUACCUGCAGAAUUUGUUGAUGGGAAGUAUUUAUCAAAGGUGAACACACAGAACUCUAACACAGCAGCAGAGGAAAUGGUAGGAAGGCCAUUGGCAGAAAAAAAGGAAAUUUAGAAAGCAGUGCAAAAUGUUACACGUGACGGUGGAGAGAAGACAAGAAAGAGUGUGGAACUGCAGCGCUGCAGAAAGGUGGCAUUCCCGAAGCGGGCUGUGUGCAAACACAGGGGGCGUCUCGUCACAAAGAGUUUGAGAAAGAUAGAAUCUGUGGGCCGCAUCCCCAGGGGCCAUAACUUUGAGACCCCUUCCCCAACUCAGGACAAGCUAUGGCAUUAGAAGGUCAAACGCAUAUGAAGUAAACAGUAAUUACAAAAGGAGCUAUCCAUGGUGAGGUCAGAAACACUGAUAGACGGAAGGUCUAGGGAGGUUGGGAAGGGUUUGUACC